Molecule: ribosomal RNA, 460 nt
Filed under: uncultured Acholeplasma sp.
Lineage: Bacteria; Bacillati; Mycoplasmatota; Mollicutes; Acholeplasmatales; Acholeplasmataceae
Description: bacterial SSU rRNA
Rfam family: Bacterial small subunit ribosomal RNA
Source: RNAcentral
CCCGCACAAGCGGUGGAGCAUGUGGUUUAAUUCGAUGGUACGCGAGGAACCUUACCAGGGCUUGACAUACGCCGGAAGCGCAUCGAAAGGUGCGUGCCGCUUGCGGCCGGCGUACAGGUGGUGCAUGGUUGUCGUCAGCUCGUGUCGUGAGAUGUUGGGUUAAGUCCCGCAACGAGCGCAACCCCUAUUGCUAGUUACCAUCAUUAAGUUGGGGACUCUAGCGAGACUGCCAGUGAUAAACUGGAGGAAGGUGGGGAUGACGUCAAAUCAUCAUGCCCCUUAUGACCUGGGCUACAAACGUGAUACAAUGGCUGGAACAAAGGGAUGCGAAGCAGUGAUGCGGAGCGAAACCCAUAAAAACAGUCUCAGUUCGGAUUGAAGUCUGCAACUCGACUUCAUGAAGUCGGAAUCGCUAGUAAUCGCGGAUCAGAACGCCGCGGUGAAUACGUUCUCGGGGUUU